UCCUCCUUCCUCCUGCCCCCUUCUGUCCCUUCUCUGUGCUGUGUCUCCUUCCCUCUCUUACCUCCCCCUGCUCUCUCCCCUCUGUCUUGUCUCUCGCUCUCUCUCUCUCCGGGAGGCCAAGGGGCUGUGGCCCUCACAGGGCAGCCGUGCGUCCUGUAGAGAACAGAGAGGCGCAGGCAUGGCCAGCAGCAAUACGGGAGGGUGUUGAGGGCCAGGGGGCCAGUGUCGAGUGGGAAACUGGCAGGACUGGGCCCGCCAGGGCUCCCGUGCCCCCGCAUGAACACAGAGUUCACUGCUGGGGAGCUACAGGCCUUCGAGAGGCUUUGCAGACAUGCGUGCGGCCAUCCCGGGUUUCCUCCCUGGCCCGCCGUAUUCACCCCACGCCUGCCAGGACUGAGUCCUGAGCACUACCAGGUUUUUGUCUCCCAUGGUGGUGCUGAGGACUUACUGCUGGCUCUGCUCCAAAGACACUCCUGUGGGGUCUGUGCGCCAGAGUCUCUGCAUUCUCCCACGACUACAGGCUCACUCGUGCCGGAGUGUUUAGAGAAGAGGCAGCCAUUU
Sorex araneus (European shrew) is the source of this 561-nucleotide long non-coding RNA. RefSeq lists it as uncharacterized. The transcript has 3 exons. The record is from RefSeq and is a predicted model, not a curated record. Lineage: Eukaryota; Metazoa; Chordata; Mammalia; Eulipotyphla; Soricidae.